ACGAGAACGGUUCCUUCGGGAACUUAGUAAAGUGGCGCACGGGUGAGUAACGCGUAAGUAAUCUACCUUUGCAUCUGGAAUAACUACGGGAAGCUGUAGCUAAUACCGGAUACGUUCAUAUAGUUACGGCUAUAUGAAGAAAGAUGGCCUCUUCUUGAAAGCUAUCGUGCAAAGAGGAGCUUGCGUACCAUUAGCUAGUUGGUAGGGUAAUGGCCUACCAAGGCAACGAUGGUUAGCGGGUCUGAGAGGAUGAUCCGCCACACUGGAACUGGAACACGGACCAGACUCCUACGGGAGGCAGCAGUGAGGAAUAUUGCGCAAUGGGGGAAACCCUGACGCAGCGACGCCGCGUGGAUGAUGAAGGCCUUAGGGUCGUAAAAUCCUGUCAGGUGGGAAGAAGUGUAUGAGGGAACAAUACCCCUUGUGCUUGACGGUACCACCAAAGGAAGCACCGGCUAACUCCGUGCCAGCAGCCGCGGUAAUACGGAGGGUGCAAACGUUGUUCGGAAUUACUGGGCGUAAAGCGCGCGUAGGCGGUUUGUUAAGUCAGAUGUGAAAGCCCAAGGCUCAACCUUGGACGUGCAUUUGAAACUGGCAGACUUGAGUACUGGAGGGGAUGGUGGAAUUCCCGGUGUAGAGGUGAAAUUCGUAGAUAUCGGGAGGAAUACCGGUGGCGAAGGCGACCAUCUGGCCAGAUACUGACGCUGAGGUGCGAAAGCAUGGGGAGCAAACAGGAUUA
RNAcentral lists this ribosomal RNA (739 nucleotides) under uncultured bacterium. Its description in RNAcentral is "bacterial SSU rRNA". It matches the Rfam family "Bacterial small subunit ribosomal RNA", at positions 66 to 780 of the family's 1533-position model. The record is from RNAcentral.